AAAUUUGGUGUCGACUCCAUGUGUCAGCUCAAAAUACCCGAAAAUCGUCAAAAAUCGCAAAUUUUCCUGAACUGAAAAAUCGCGAUUUUGGUCAAAUCCGACUUUUAGCUAAAAACACAUCAUUCCAACCCUAAAUUUGAUACGGAUCACGAAAUUCCUGCUCGUUGUGUUAUGGGAUCACUAUUUUCGGAGAUAUUGGCUACUUCCGGUUACUUCCGGAAUAUUUUCAUGAUAAUCUGCAAAAAGUAAAAAAUGAGUUGUAUUGUUCUAACAAUUUCAAAUACUUUUAUCGCAUACGUUAGGGUGUGGUAGCUAUUAUUCCGUGUUUUUCUUGCUUUAAACACUACAGGUGGAUCCUACGAGUUACGACAGUUUUACCUGCAAAUGUUUAGCAUUUCGUGCUGCAACUAGUAGUUGAUAUUCUAGGAUUUUAUGCCUAAAAUUGGAAUUCGGCUAUCAAAGAUUUGCAAAAUUCAAGUUUAAAAGCAAGUAUUAGAUUUAUUUUAACAAUCAAAGUAAAAUAUUAUUUUGGGUUCUAGGCAGAAACUCUAGAUGGCGUUGAUGUGCGUCUAUGAUGAAGAUUACGAGUGACAAGUGAAAUGGGCGUUUGUUACGUUACUCUGUUUCGUGUUUCGAAGGAUUUUUCGUCAAACAAUUUAUGAUUGCUUUUUGUAUGUGGUGGUGUUUUGCCUUGUCAGCUAUGCCAGCUGCUGAACCAGCAGCCUGCAUUCUUGUUAUCAAUGUACCACAAGGGAUCAUAACACUUUAAGAAGGCCACUAUUCCUUACAUGACGAUCACCAUCCAGUUCAAGUACUGUUAAAUGGACCUCAAGUCUUUUGUUUAAACUAAGUGAUGUGUUCUCUCAUGAGUCAACCACAGAGUCUUCAUCUACUUUGUGUUGCUAACCAUCAGCCCUCAGCAUCCCAAGUAUCCCGAUUUCCAAACUUCUCUGAUAGCCAACCAUCAUCCAUACACUUCAGCUCUUCAUUGUGGCUUCUCUUCCUCUCUUCUUCUUCUACCGAAUGCCAACAUGGAAUAAGGUUCAUCUUUUGUGUUACCAUGAAAAUUGUCAUUAUUAAUCCUGCUGUUGUUCUCACUGUUACUUAGACAGCUACCAUGGAUAGGCUUUAACACCAUCUUCAUUUUUUGGACUGCAAAUAUUCAUCUUCCUUCGGUGCAACACUGCCGUUUUGACAAUUUCGGAAGUUCGCCCCCAGUGGACCAUACACAACUAUAUUUUCUUCGUCUUCCUGUCGUUAUCUACGACUCACCUCAUCGCUGUCUUCGUGUACGUUUUCACAUCAUCACUGUGUUCGUCGUCGUCUUCGCCUUUGUUUCAUCGCCAUCACCUUAUCGCCGUCUUUGUCUACGCCUCGCCUCGUCGCCCUGGUAUUGCUUUAUUUUGCAUUGUAAUGUUUAAGUUAACCCGUUGGCUGCCACCCCGUUUGCGUCCCAUUUUUUUUAUAGCUUGUAGGGAUCGGGCGCUGUUCUGCCCCAUGGCCAUGGGGGGAACAGUCGCCGCGCCUAAAGGAUUUGUGCCUUUAGGCGCCGUAGGUAAUGCACCAGUAGGGACUCUCUUUGUCGGUGCGGUAAUAGAUUCCUGGGGUGUGCAUUCCCGGAAUGGAUUCUAUUGCCGUGUCAGCCCGGACUUGUCUUCGGAUUAGUGUUGGCGAUUAUCUAAUUUGGUUAGAUACAAAUUAUCUACGCCCACUUUUAGAUAACGAUACGAUUAUCGAUAAAGUAUCUAAUUAUCCCCAUCUACUGGCCAAAAAAUAUACUGCGUACAUGAUUGUAUCAAUAUAUAAAACACGGUUAACAUAAUAUUUAAAAAUUAUAUGCAGAAGGGAUUGUGAGUUGUGGUAAUCACGGUACUACUAACAAGCCUCAAACAGUAAAACAAAAAAAUUGCAGUUUUUUCUAAUUUGCAUCGAUACUCGUCAACAAUCGUGAUUUAUCACGGCGAGAAUUUGUAAAAAUAUAGUAUGUAGUAGCGCUAAGGUUAACGAGUUGGUCUGUGAACAAAAAGUUCGGAGUUCGAAUCCAGAAGCGACUGUAUAUUUUUUCUUGAUGAUUGGCUCUUGAAAAUACAUUUUUAACGCAUUUGAAAGCUAGCAGACGACGGAAAGAUUAGAUUUUUGUUUACAAUUUGUAUCGAUACUACCCAACAGCAAUAAAACUUUUUUAUGCUGAAAGAUCUCUAUAGACUACUGGCGCAGUGGUAUAAUACAAGUCUAGUGAUACUAAGGCAGUGGGUUCAAACCUAACCGAAGAAAUUUUUUCAGCGGUUUUAUUGUAGGGAAAAGCUAGCCUAAAUUAUUUUUGACGGAUUUUAUAAAUCGGUUGCAUAACAGAACUAUAUUUUUUUAAUUCUAAUGUUUCUUAUUGUACUUUGAAUUAGUUAUUAAUUUAAUUUUAAAAGAAUUAGUAAUUGCGGUGGCAGCCCUGAUAUCAAUAUUAAACAAAUUUGCUAUCUAGCCAAAUAUAGUGUUGCAGACCACGAUAAUUUUAGAUUUUCGUCUGCAAUUUGUAUCGAUACAACCCAACAACAAUAAAAUCAUUAUUGUGCUGAGUAAUGUCUACAGAGUAUUGGCACAGUGGUAUAAUACAAGGCUAGCGAUUUAGAGGUAUUGGGUUCAAAACUGAACAAAGUAUUUUUUUCAGCGUUUUUAUUGUUAGGAAAAGCUUGCUUAAAUAUUUUUUGAUGGGAUUUUAGAAAUCGGUUGUGCAACAGACCUAAACUUUUUGAAUUAUAAUGUUUCUUAUUGUAAUUUGAAUUAGUAAUUAAUUUAAUUUCAAAAGAAUUAGUAAUUGCGGUGGCAACCCUGAUAUCUAUCAAUAUUAAACAAAUUUGCUAUCCAGCCAAAUAUAGUGUUACAGACGACGAUAAUUUUAGAUUUUCGUCUGCAAUUUGUAUCGAUACUACCCAACAACAACAACUUCAUUGUUGUGCUGUAUCAAACAUACAGAGCAUUGGCGCAGUGGUAUAAUACAAGGCUACCGAUGCAGAGGUAUUGCGUUCAAACCUCAACGAAGAAUGUUUUUCAACGAUUUUAUUGUUGGGAAAAGCUUGCUUAAAUGAUUUUAGACGGGAUUUUCUAAAGCAAUUGCAUAACAGACCUAUAUUUUUUUAAUUCUAAUGUUUCUUAUUGUAAUUUGAAUUAGUAAUUAAUUUAAUUUUAAAAGAAUUAGUCAUUGCUGUGGCAACCCUGAUGUCAAUAGUAAACAAAUUUACAAUCCAGCCAAAUAUAGUGUUGCAGACGACGAUAAUUUUAGAUUUUCGUCUGCAUUUUGUAUCGAUACUAACCAACAACAGUCAAUUCUUUUUAACUUACAAAACAGUUACCAACUUGAUUGGUAUAGUGGUAUGAGAUAAAGCUCAUGACAUCAAGGAUCCGUGUUCGAUCCCAAUAACCAACAUAACUUUUUUAUUGCACAUUAGUCUGGGAAAAUGGUGAUUUUACAGUGGUAAUCGUUGAUAAUUUGAAGGUUUGACUUUUACUAUUUUCUAUUUGAUUUUAUAUUUGGAAAAUUAUAUCGAUUGUCGUUCAUAUAGUUUACUUUAAAUGUAGCAUAAACUUAAUAAUACUGCAGGCAACUAUAGCUCUGUGGUAUCAUACAGUAUUUGGGAUUCAGAAUAUCGAAGUUCAAAUCUCACUCCAUCCACAUCUUUUAUUUCGUAUGGGGUAUUAACAUUUAUUUUGUGUGUUCUUUGUGUUUGGACUAUUUUGCAAUUAGAAAUCGUCUUAAUUUUUUCGUUUAGCAUGAAAAAUACAAAAAAUUGGAUGUAAAAUUCGAUAAAAAUAUAGAUAAAACUAGCUUUGUAACAUACUGUUUAGUCUUAAGAAAAGCAGACGAUGAUCAGUUCAGAUUUGUAUUGUGCAAUUUAUAUCGAUAUUCGGUAACAAAAUAA
Molecule: long non-coding RNA, 3911 nt
Organism: Daphnia magna
Lineage: Eukaryota; Metazoa; Arthropoda; Branchiopoda; Diplostraca; Daphniidae
Exons: 6
Source: RefSeq, a predicted model, not a curated record